UACGGAGGGUGCAAGCGUUAUCCGGAUUUACUGGGUUUAAAGGGUGUGUAGGCGGACUAUUAAGUCAGUGGUGAAAUCCCGAGGCUCAACCUCGGAACUGCCUUUGAUACUAUUAGUCUUGAAUGUUGUUGAGGUGGGCGGAACGGGUCAUGUAGCGGUGAAAUGCAUAGAUAUGACCCGGAACACCGAUUGCGAAGGCAGCCCGCUAAGCAACUAUUGACGCUGAGGCACGAAAGCGUGGGGAGCAAACAGG
RNAcentral lists this ribosomal RNA (253 nucleotides) under uncultured bacterium. Its description in RNAcentral is "partial 16S ribosomal RNA". It matches the Rfam family "Bacterial small subunit ribosomal RNA", at positions 524 to 776 of the family's 1533-position model. The record is from RNAcentral.